Molecule: long non-coding RNA, 37774 nt
Filed under: Populus tremula
Lineage: Eukaryota; Viridiplantae; Streptophyta; Magnoliopsida; Malpighiales; Salicaceae
Description: long non-coding RNA (PTRE_LNC001923)
Source: RNAcentral
CAGAAAGUCAUCAUCUUGAGAACCCACAGCAAAGAGUUCAUUUUUUUGCAGUAGAUACGUAGCUAUAUUAACAACGAUACUUCCAGCAUGCACAAAUGGGACUUCUUGAUGGUUACGCUGCUAAAGACAUUUACAAAUCCCCAUCAAUACUGGUGUUUAUUCCUCAUGAUGAUCCAGUGAGCUGACAAUAAAAGAAAACCUCGGCAUUACUAGUAAAUCGUCACUGCAAGCAUGGAAGAGAUUCAGGUAGGAAUUACCCUUGUCUUCAUUGAGAGGCUUUAACCUCCCUUGUCAGCAGGCCCAUGGUUCGAUGCAUCCUCUGAAGCGUCUAAGCAAGGAUUGCUUUUACACUGACUUACAGGCUGAGAAAGUUGGGACCCCUUUUGCGAAAAGUUUGGUUUACCUUUCGGAGUCUCAGACAGGCUUCCCGUUGACAGCUUUGCUAGGCCCAUUGUCUUGUGCUCACGCGGGAGCUUUGUUGAAAAAGGUGAUUCAGGUGUAUCAGGAUGCUUCCCAGGAAUAUCCAUCGGUCUAUGAAACAGCAAAUGAGCCACAGUCCGGUCUACCGGAUUGGUCUCUGUUUCCACCUCAGGCAUCUUAACCACCCUGCAGUAUACUCAUAAAAUCCAUGAGGAAAAUGACAGGAAACUUUGAGAUUGCCAUACUCUAAACAAAUUGAUAAAGACUUGAUUAAUAAUUUUGUGCAAACAAAUUGAAUGAUUUGAAAUGGGAAGGACGAGAUGUAAAGGAACAAACCCAUUGGAACAAGAAACAAUCACAUUGUCGCUUACAACAAAAAAUCGAGUUUCAGAUCAAAACAGCUUAUGGUUUUGGCUGGAAGUGUCCCAUUUAGACAUUGAUGAGCCGAUUAGAAGAUGAUUUGAGUUCUUAAAUUUCUUGCUUAAAAUGUAAUGUAUCAUGAUUCUGCAGAUGAUCAUUAAAUUAGAAGGGAAAUUUAAUUUUGCCCUGUUUAUCUAAAGUUGUGCAAGUUCUCUGCAUUGAUGAUUCCAGUGAAUUUGUACAGAUCUUGUUUUCCUUCUAUUUGUCCUUGAAUAAACUUAUUGCACUUGUUGAACAAUCUUUGUUUCUCUCUCUUAGUUAAAUCUAGUAAAAUUUAUCAUGUAUGUUGUGCCACUCAUUUAGACUUGGAUGUGCGUGUUUAGCUCUUCUUUUCGGAUUAAGGUGAUUAUGCACAAAUUCACUGGAAUCAACAUUGCAGAAAACUUGCAUAGAUUUUGUUAAUAUUGGAAAAAUUAAAUUCGUUUUCUAAUUAAAUGAAAAUCUCUCCUAAAUAUUAUGCUAUUUGAAUUGUCACCUCAUGACUACUUGCUGCACUGCACUCAUGAAUGCUGCACCAGGGUAAAGCUACAAAUGUCAGUUUAAUAUCUGCCUCUACCUAGGUUGGCCUACAUACAAUACCAAAGCUUCUCUCAACUAAAUCAAGACAUGAUGACCAGCACUCACAAUCAUAACAGAACCAGUGGAAGCGAACUACUACAUAUUUGAUCAACAAGGUCAAAUUCAGUCAAGUUUUUAAGGAAAUCCAGUGAAAGAGGAACCUAAAAUUUUCUGUUUAGAUUUUCUUCUACUUCUAAGAACAAGCGCUGCCUUAAUUGAAUUGUUUCAGUCACUAUUCCUCCAUUGUAAAUAGAGGAUACCGUUUUCAAUAUUUAUUUCCAGAGUGAGAAUGGAAAACAGAAAAUGGUGAUGGCAUUAAAAGAUCCUAAUUUAACAUUUCCAUAGAGCAAAAAUGUUUUUUAAAAAAGAGAGAGGAUAGAUUAAAUUUGAAAACAGAAGCAUGAGAAAUGCAUUACCUUAACCAACCUUCUUUGACUACUAUUGUUUGUACUGCCAGUAUCACUAGCAUAAUGCCUUUGCAUUGCACUUUGAGCCAGCCGGAACAAGCUAUCCCGAAUACAAAGUCUAAUUCUGACAUCCAACUGUUGUAAAACAUUGGUUUGGAAUCGUAACCAAGCACAAAUUAUUUAGCAGGGAAAGAAUGCAAUAGUAGGUGAAGCAUACCUUUGAAAUAAUAUCUUGAAGCCUGUAGAGUACUGUGUCCUCCAUUGAAUAAUCAUUAACCGCCAGAGAGACUGUAUUGGAAUCGUCUUGCUCAAUAGGUGAGUUUGGGUCAAAUGAAGCAAGUGUACUUAGAUCCUCUACUUCAAGGUCAGCUCCUUCAACAUGCUGAAUUUGAUUUUCUUGGGAACACUUUUGAUGAACAAGCUGCUGCUGCUGUUUCUGAAUGGCAAGCAUUGCCUGAAUUUGUUGCCGCCUCCUUAAUUUUUCAAUCUUUUCCUGAGGUGUCAUUCUCUGGGGUUUCACUGGACAGUCAGCUAACUUGUUUAUAGGAUUUGCAUUGCCUGAAACUUCAUAACCAGAAAUUUUAGGUCGAUGAUUAAAUGACUAGAAAUUUUGUUGGAAAGUCAGAAAACUUUAACAGGAUUCGCAUUACCUGAAGAAACUUCAUAACCAGAAGCUAAAGGUUGAUGCUUAAAAUCCCCAGACUGAAUGUGGGACAACCCAGGCAUAGAAUAUGGAUUUGUAAUACUCCCGUAGGCAGAAGGGGCCACAAAUGGAUUGGAUAUCUGCUGGUACUGCAACUGCUCGGAACCCUGUAGCUGCUUCUGUUGGCUGAGAAUUGAAGGGGGAGAAGAUUGCAUAAUUUGGGGUUCUAAAUGAUCCUUAAGUUGACAGGCUGGGAUUCCAGAUGAAGUCCAGUUUCCAUAAAAAUCUUGGUAUGAUUUCAGUUCACCUUUUUCUUCCAGUUUUUCCCGACCUUUCAAGAUCUUCUUUUGCCUGUAAGUCUGAUCACAGAACUAUAAACAUAUAAAUAGACAAAUUACUUAGAAUAGAUCAACGUUUUAACCAUCUAGACCUGCAGGGGAGAGUGACUAAGGCACAGUUAGUAUUUUAACUCAGUACAUGGUUUGUAAGGAUAAAUUCAAUGUUAUUUUUUUUUUUUAAUUGUAACUUACGAUCCAAAGGGCUUCUAUUGUUCAGAAUAUAUUGAGGUAUUAGCUAAACUAUGCCAAGCAAACAGAAUUUGCAUGUCCCUGGGAAGAGUGGGUGUCAUACUAGAAAUAUAAAUUACUGAUGCCUCCUGAAUUUUGACAUGCUAUUCCUUUCUCCUUCCUACUAACAGAAAACCAGACAAUGGCUUUACUUUAGGCAAUCGAUAUCAUGGUUAAGUCAUGGAUUUGACAUCAAGGAUAACUUAAUUGAUGCAUUAUUGAAGUGAUGACUAAAUCAUGUAAAUCCAUAUUCACCCAACAUCCAAGUUUAAUCUCAUUCCAAAAAAUAAAACUAAUAGCAUGAAUUAUGAAGAGACGAAGAGGAAUUUAAAUAAUAUAAUUUCUCUUUUCUGUCGCCAUUUUCCAUUCCAGAGAAGUACUCAGGAAGUCUUAAUAAGUUCAAGUGUAAGGUAACUUUUACCCUUCCCAGCUCUAAUUAGGUUUCGCUGUCCCUCCAAUCUAAUUUAAGAUCUAAUAUGAGGAAACCACACUGUAUUAGUGAAAGGAUCACAAUAUCAAGAUUUUCCAACUUCAAUUCACUGAUAUAACUUUUCUUGAAUCCUGGACAAAAGAACUUAGAACAUCAAAAGAUCAUAGCAGGAUUCUAAAAAACAAAGAUUGUAUUUGGUGCCUAUUGAGUCUAAAAGUUAUCUUGGAUGAAAAGGGUAAAAAUCAGUAAUAUGUCUGGUUCAGUAUCAAGAUUUUGAAAAUAUCAAAAGGAAGAAAAAAAAAGGUACCUUGUUUGCUAAUUCAUUUGGAAAAGCACCAUUUUCCUCUGUCAGUUGAGAGUUAGCCGCCGUGUUCUUUCCCACAACAGCCAAAUCUGUCUGCAAAAGCACAAAAAAAUAAAAUAAAAAAUGCUAAGCUUCUCUCAGCUCCUGCACUUGAGCAUGGGGCAUUAAUAAGUGAACUCAUUACUGAAAAUUGAGUCGCUAUACCUGCUCCUUCAGUAUAGGCUUGUUUUUACCUUCAUCAUAUUCUACAUGAUCAAGGCUUGCCUGAGUAUUCUGCAGACCAUGAGAUGCAGGGUCGUUCAUUUUUCCAUAGCCAAGGGCAAACAGCUGGUCCUCUUCUCUCGAAGCCACAGAUAUUGGAAAGGGCUUUACCGGGCUGUUAGUUGUACAUUUUGAAGAAGACCAUAGCUCAUCAGCAUUACCAAGAUUUACAUUGCCAAAUAUUGGGUCAUCAUUGCUGCAAAAUCACCACUUGUGAGGAUAUUGAGUCAGAUGGUUAUCACUGUUCUCCAACAGAAUCAAGAUAAAAUAUAAGAACAUUAGUGAAGAACAGAAAUGCAGGAAAGCCCUUCCACAAUUGAACAAGCUCACCAAUUCCUUACAAAUCCAGUGCUGCUAUAUUACAUUCUUUCUGCCAUUUAUACUUGUAAUUGAGGAUAUUGUGCUGCUAAAAACUCGCAUCCUUCAGGUUCUUUUCACAAUUAACAAAAUUAAGCCAGGAUCAAAAACCAUAAAUUUUCAAACAACUAGUCUUUUUUGUUAGUGUUGCUUUCAGCAGACAGCACUUGUUUGGAAAAGGAUAUAGAUCCAAAACAGAAGAAACUACAAUUAUUAAAAGAGUCUGGUUGUUUUUCCUUCACAACAACACUCUUGUAGUACAUGAUUUUUUUCUUCUGAAAUGAAAAUAGGCAGUGAGCAUAAUUAUUUUGUCCGCGAAACUUUCACUUCACAGUCAGUAAUAAGAAUUUGUUCAAAUUAUCAGAAUAAUGAGAUGUACAAGCUUCCAUAUCAGGGUGCUGCUGACCAUCUUUCAUUUAGGUGCAGAAAGUAAGAAAUGGUAACUGUGCUUUACCUAAAAAUUCGAUCAAGAUCAUCAAAGCUUCCAAUGCUAGCCCAGCCAUAAUCAACAAAAUCACCUUGCUCUUCACCUUCAUGAGGAUUUUGAAAAAUCUCAGUGUCCUUAUCAAGAUGAUCUGUCUCUGCGUUUUAAAAAAAAGAAUUAGAAUGACAGUAGCAUGUAAGAUACUAUGCUAUGAAAACAUCAUGCAACUCGUCACCCUAUCUACAUUUUUUCCUUGUAAUUGAAAUCUCAUCACCUGCUGAUGAAUCGAGUUUGGUAAUCUCAGUUAGAUUGUUAGAGAUUGAAGUUUCCAAGGAAUCCUGCUCAGUUUUGGCAGCAUUACGUGAGGACAAGUUAGGCCAUCGGUCCAUGUCAAGUCCUAAGGAAGAAGUUCCUUCACUUGUGUCAACAUUCGAAAUGCUCUCCAGCUUUCUGCCAUCAGUAUCAACUUUAGCCCCGGGUGCCUUCUGCUCACUAGAUUUAAUGGUGCUAGCUUCUUCACUCGAUUCCUUUUUCUUGCAAUAAUCUUCACUUGCCUCUGGAUAUGGCACGAUAUGGUCAUCACUAUCUUCAGCCUCACCCCAUAUUAUGUUCGUAAGCUGAAAAGAUAGUGAGUAAGCAUCAUCACUAAAUGUGGGAUACAUGAGAAGAAUGAAACAGUCACAAGUUAAUCUCUGGGUAACUUGGCAAGACUAUUUUCCCCAACAUAAUAUUCUGAAUAAUACACUAAUUAAUCAGUUCAGUUCCUUGUAAGGUGUGCGUGGGCACAUAUGAGCACACAUGUGUGUACGAGAGUUGCUAGUGUCAAUGAGUUGGGAACAAAAUAUUUAAUUGAGUCAUGCAGAAAAUACUAAAAUGUUCUAAAUUGUGUUAAAAAUAAAAUAGAAAGUAGAAGCCAUUGGCAUGAUUCAUUUAAAAAUUUCUACAAAAUUAAAAAAAGAAAACAAAACAAAAGGAGGAGAUGGCCCAAAGCAUGCUCUCAAUAAGAUGAAGUAAGACCUAAAGCUUCAUUGCAUGUACAGAGCACUUUGGAAACUUCAGUCUGGACAAAUAAAACCAAGGCAAAGUAUCUUCUUUUUGGAACUAAUUUCUUCACAGUAAGAUAUAACAUCCAACGCUACCUGCAUCACUUUCUCAUGGUCCUCUCUGACUCGAGUGAUCAUAAACCUUCUCAAAUCCCAUUUAAAGAAGAUUCCCUUUCUCACUUUUCGUUGGUAUUAUUUGACACCAAGAUCACAACCAAACAUUACCAAUAAGUGUGUCACCGGAGAAAGAAACUUAGGUGCCCUAAUACCAUAAAUAAAACCUAUUCAAUAAAAAUUAGACAAUAUUUUAUAGCUGUACAUCUAUAAUCAAAGUAAAAUGCCCAAAACUCUGAAUCCUGAAUAUGUGAAUCAAAGUAAAAGGCCCUAACUGAUGCACCAUCAGCAGUCUCCUACUUUGACUUGUGAUUAAUGACCUAGCAGUUCACUUCAACAACAUUAGUGAACAUAAGUUUGAAUUUCAGACCCAGCAAGAAGAAGUACAUUUUCCAGUAGGCAUGCAUAUCACCUUUUUAUCAAUAUCCAUGGAAGACAAACCAAGCAAUAUCAAGUUUUUUUCUGCUGGAUAUCCAAUAAAAAAUACCUCAUAGUGUGAACAUCUUUAAGAAGGAGGAUAUCACAUUGCACCCCAUCAACUGAUCCACAAAUAAAUUUGCAUCUUUCCAUCAGUUCCAAGCUCUUUGUAAGGAAAAGGGAGGGAAGUGCCUUCAAAGAUACCUUCUUCAUAGCUUCUUUAGAUAUGAAUCCACACGGCUUUCGUAAUCACCAAUCACUAUGCGCAGCUUCUCUUAUCAUCACAAGCUCCAUCUCUUUCCACGUCCUAACUUCAUUCGAUGAACUCUUCCCUCAGUUCCCAAGAAAAAUUAUAUUCAUCCCUCCUGCAGCCUUUUCCCUGCAUAUUUCCACCAGCUUCAUAGCUAUAUGGCCUGUGAAAACUGUCGUUGUUGCAGUGAUUCUGAACAACAAAAAUAACAAAGGAUAAUGCUUGUGUUUAAGAAGAGAUUGAUGAAUGAAAAGCUUAAAUACUUUAUUCAUAACUGCAGCUCAAUUUAUAGAGCUGAUACAUAACAAACUCCUACGAUCAUGGUCCUACAUUCAAGCCAUGAUCAAUUGAUAAUGGAAAUAACAGAGCUGCGAAAUAGCAGCAAGAACAAGAGAAUAGGAACAGAAUUGACUAAAUCAAAAAUUAAAGAAAGAAUAAAAUUCCAGCUCAGCAGUCCUGAACAUUAUUUCUAACACUCCUCCUUGUUUAGGAGCUGCAAACUCCCAACUUUGUUCUCAGAAAUUCGAAUUUGUUGACUGGCAGUGGUUUGGUGAAAAUAUCAGCUGCUUGUUCUUCAGUUUUGCAGUAAAUAAGAAUGAUACUCCAAUCUUUCUGCACCUCUCUCAAAAAGAAUAAUUUGAUGUUGAAGUGCUUGGUUUUCCCGUGAAACACAGGAUUAUUAGAGAUGGAAAUGGCAGCUUGAUUGUCAACUAGAAUUUCUGUGCUUUCCUUUUGCUCCAGGUUAAGAUCAGAUAAAAUUUUCCUCAGCCACAAAGCUUGAUUGACAGCAGCUGUUGCAGCCACAAACUCAGCUUCAGCAGUGGAUUGGGCUACGGUUUCUUGCUUUUUUGAAUUCCAUGAAAACACACCAGAACCUAAAGAGAAACAGUAGCCUGAUGUGCUCUUCAAGUCAUCAAUUGAGCCUCCCCAAUCACUGUCAGAGUACCCGACCAGUUUGAACUCUCUACUUCUUGUGUAUCUUAUGCCAAAAUUGCAGGUUCCUUUGACAUAUCUUAUCACUCUUUUAGCAGCCUUGAAAUGCAAUUCACUAGCACAAUGCAUGAAUCUAGACAAGAUACUCACAGCAUUCAAAAUAUCAGGCCUAGUUGCAGUGAGAUACAUCAAGCAUCCAACAAUUUUUCUGAAUUGUGCUUGAUCAACCUUCUCGGCUCCAUCUUCUUUACAUAGCUUCUCCUUUUGAUUCAUAGGAGUGCUUACUGCUUUGCAAUCUUCAAGUUUGAACUUUUUGAGGAUUUCUUUGGCAUACUUCUUCUGACAUAUGAACACUUCAUGUUCAGCUUGCUUAACUUCCAUUCCAAGAAAAAAGGACAUCAAACCCAAAUCUGUCAUCUCAAAUACACUCAUCAUCUCUUGCUUGAACGUCUCCACAUUAUUGUUGUUAUUUCCUGUUACAAGCAAAUCAUCAACGUAAAGUGAGAUGAUAAGGAUGUUAUCACCAUUUUGCUUGAUGUAAAGAGUCGAUUCAGAGAGGCUUUUAGUGAAUCCCAAGUGCUGCAAAUGUUCAUCGAUUCGGCUGUACCAAGCUCUUGGAGCUUGCUUCAAUCCAUAUAGUGCCUUCUUAAGAAGACAGACUUUGUCCUCCUCUCCUUCAUUUGCAAAGCCUUCUGGUUGCUCAGUAUAGAUCUCCUCCUGCAAAACACCAUUUAAAAACGCUGACUUGACGUCCAUUUGAUACACCUUCCAAUUCAGUUGUGCUGCAAUGGCAAGUAGCAGCCUGAUAGUGUCAAGUCUUGCUACCGGUGCAAACGUGUCUGAGUAGUCCACGCCAAAGAUUUGUGCAUAACCCUUCACCACUAGCCUGGCUUUGAGCUUAUUGAUUGAGCCAUCAGCGUUGAGUUUUGUUCGAUACACCCAUUUUACACCGAUUACAUUUCUGUUUUGAGGUCUGUCAACCAACUCCCACGUGUUGUUUCUCGUGAUCAUGAGAAGCUCCUCCUUCAUCGCAGCAAGCCAAUUUUGAUCUAGCUUGGCUUCUUCAAAGUCUGCUGGUUCACACACAGCAAUGUUGCACCUUUGAUACACAUCAAGGAGUGACCGUGUGCCUCUAACAGGAGUGUCAUCUGUCAUGUUGAUGUCCCAAUCUUCCAUGCUUUGAUCAUCUGUGUCUGAAACAAGAUAAUUGCCUUUUGGAGAGGCUGAAUCUUCUUUGAUUGCAUCGUUCCAAUCCCAUUCUUCAUCUUCCAGGAAUUGGACAUCUCUGCUUAUAACGAUUUUUCCAGUUUGUGGCUGGAAAAUCUUAUAAGCCUUUGAAACUAAGCUGUAGCCAACAAAAAUGCCUGGAAGUGCUUUCUUGUCAAGUUUAUCCCUCUUGACCUGUGGAACAAGGGUGAAGCACAAACAUCCAAAUACCUUAAGAAAAUUCAGAGAUGGUUUGUAACCAUACCAUGCCUCAAAGGGUGUUUGAUCCUUCAAGGCUCUUGUAGGCAGUCGAUUUUGCAAGAACACAGCAGUGUUUGCAGCCUCUGCCCAGAAUUUCUUUGGUAAAUUCUUCUCAUGUAGCAAGCAUCUUGUCAUUUCCAAUAUGAACUUGUUUCGCCUCUCACUAACUCCGUUUUGCUGAGGAGUAUACGGAGUUGUUAGCUGAUGAUGAAUGCCUGCCUCCUCACAAAAAACGUUGAAGGCAUUGGAAGUGUAUUCCUUGCCAUUGUCUGAUCUGAGGGCUUGAAUUUUGCAGCCACUUUCAUUUUCAACUUUGGCCUUGAAAUUCCAGAACACCUGUGCUACCUCUGACUUGUGCUUCAAGAAGAAAAUCCAGCACAUUCGGCUGUAAUCGUCAAUGAAGACAGCAUAAUACAGACUCCCAUUUAGAGAGAGUGUCCUUUGUGGUCCUGCAAUGUCAGUAUGAAUCAAUUGCAGCUUCCUUGUUGCUCUCCAUGUGGCUUCUGGAAAGGGCUUCCUGUUUAGCUUGCCAGUGUGACAAGUUCUGCAGCUGGAUAUGUGAUCAUCAAGUGCUGGGAAAUCCUUAGCCAUCAUCUUGGAUUUCAUAAGCAUCAGCCCUCUAUGAUGAUAGUGCCCGAGCCUCUUGUGCCAAAUAUCUGUGAUAUUUUCUUUAAUUGGGAAAGCAGUAUGCUCCUCCUCCAAUGGAUUUAGAGCAAAACUCUUCCCUUUCAUGAUUAUUUUGAAAAUAUCAUGACCAUUCACAUCUUUGAUCAAGCAGCAAUUGUUUUCAAACACUACUUUAUAACCCUUCUCAAUAAGCUGACCAACACUGAAUAAAUUUUGAUUUAUACCAGGGACAUACAAUACAUCAGAGAUGAACUUAGUACCUGAGCAAGUCAAGAUUGCCACGGUUCCCUUUCCUUCAACAACAAGGUAUUCUCCAUUUCCAAUUCGAACCUUUGAAGUUGUUUGUUUCAGCUCCUUGAAUAUGUUUCUGUCAUGUGUCAUGUGGUUGGUGCAACCACUAUCAAUGAGCCAGCUUUCACUUGAGUCAUUUCUGGAAAUGCAAGUGGCCACAAACAAUUGAUCUUCUUCUUCUUGAUCAGCAAUUUGAGCUUCUUCACCAUGCUGUUGAAUUUUGUUUUUGCAGAUGACAGCCUCGUGCCCCAUUUGAUUGCAUUUGUUGCACUUAGCUUCUGGUCUUCUCCAACACUUAAAAUGUGGAUGUGAUCUCCUUUUACAAUGCUGGCAUGGAGGAAAAGGUCCUUUUUUGUUUCCAGUGUUGCUCCUUGUUGAAAUUCCUGGAAUCACCUGAUGAUGCUUGACUGCUUCCAUUCUUCUUGUAAUUCUUUCCUUUUUCUCUAUGCUUGACGAAUAGAGCUCCUUCAAUCUCAUCUUCCUGUCUCAUGAUCCUCCUUUGCUCCUGAGCUUGUAAUGCAUUUAGCAUUUCUGUCAAAGUAAUUUUUGACAUAUCCUUGGUAUUUUCCAAGGAUGUAAUUGUAGCUUCAAAGAUUUCAGGAAUUGUUACAAGAAUUUUUUGAACAAUUCUUGACUCAGGCAGGGACGAGCCAAGUAAACUGAUUCGGCUUGCAAUAUUAAGCAGCCUGUCAGAGUACUCUUUGAUGGAUUCAGUCUUCUUCAUCUUCUGCAACUCGAAAUCACGCAUCAAGUUCAACACUUGCAUACCUUGAAUUCUUUCAUCCCCUUCAUACUCAGUCUUGAGAAACUCCCAUAUCUCCUUUGCUGUUUUCAGAGACAUGAUUCGAGUGAAAAUGGUGGAUGCUACUACAGCAAACAAGCACGCCUUUGCCUUUGAUUUUUUUGUCUUCUUCUCCUUCUGUGAUUUGAUCUGCACCAUGGUGGGAUUGUUUGGAAGUGCAGGGAUUUCAUAAUCUUCUUCCACUGCCUCCCACAAAUCCAAAGCCUCUAAGUAUGUCUCUAUCCGUACUGCCCAAAACUGGUAAUUGUCACCAUUGAACACUGGUGGAGCAAUUGAUGAGAAGCUUACUUCUGUCUCCAUGGGUUACAACACAGAUCCCUUUAAAUCAAGAUGCUCUGAUACCAAUUGUCGUUGUUGCAGUGAUUCUGAACAACAAAAAUAACAAAGGAUAAUGCUUGUGUUUAAGAAGAGAUUGAUGAAUGAAAAGCUUAAAUACUUUAUUCAUAACUGCAGCUCAAUUUAUAGAGCUGAUACAUAACAAACUCCUACGAUCAUGGUCCUACAUUCAAGCCAUGAUCAAUUGAUAAUGGAAAUAACAGAGCUGCGAAAUAGCAGCAAGAACAAGAGAAUAGGAACAGAAUUGACUAAAUCAAAAAUUAAAGAAAGAAUAAAAUUCCAGCUCAGCAGUCCUGAACAGUAUUUCUAAUUUCUGCUGGAUAUCCAAUAAAAAAUACCUCAUAGUGUGAACAUCUUUAAGAAGGAGGAUAUCACAUUGCACCCCAUCAACUGAUCCACAAAUAAAUUUGCAUCUUUCCAUCAGUUCCAAGCUACUUUGUAAGGAAAAGGGAGGGAAGUGCCUUCAAAGAUACCUUCUUCAUAGCUUCUUUAGAUAUGAAUCCACACGGCUUUCGUAAUCACCAAUCACUAUGCACAGCUUCUCUUAUCAUCACAAGCUCCAUCUCUUUCCACGUCCUAACUUCAUUCGAUGAACUCUUCCCUCAGUUCCCAAGAAAAAUUAUAUUCUUCCCUCCUGCAGCCCUUUCCCUGUAUAUUUCCACCAGCUUCAUAGCUAUAUGGCCUGUGAAAACGACUCCCAAAUUAAAACACUUGAGAAGCUCUAAUAGUUUUCUUAUUAUUUCUUCACUCUUUGUCAGUGUGCCACAUUCAAAUACUACUGAUCGAUUCUUCCUCGUCACAACCACUCACUUUCCCCUAAAUCCCAUACCAACUAAAUCAAUAUCUCUUAUCACUUAUCAAAACUCCAUCUAAUUUCCAAAUGAAUCACACCAUUUGAACACUUUGCCAAUUCCUAAUUCCUUCAAAAUUUUCAUCCAUCAAAAAAAAAACUGCAAGUCAUACUUUUUCACUCUAACACAGUUCUCCUUAUAAUCAAUCUUCCAAUUUAACCAUACUCUUGCCUCUAAAUCUGGCACGCAAAGCUUCUACAUAACCUUCCAACGUUACUUCUUGCCUCCCAACAAGGGUGGAGGCAUGCAUGGGCUAGGGUGGGCUCUAGCUCAGGUGAAGAUUUUAUUAAUAUUUUUGUUCUAGUUUUAUGUAAAGAAAAUUUGUAAUUCUCAAUUUACGUGGAGCCUUCUAAUAUGAUGCUUUAACUUGAGUUAAAAUUUUAUAAUUUUUGAAGAAAUUCAGAAAUUUGAUAAAAAACAAAAUCAUAAUUUGACCAAUUUUAUGUUAUUGGGUGUAAUUUUCAAUCUGACCAUCAGAUUGAGCUAAAAUUUUACAAGGAAUCUUAAAAUAUAUUAAAUAAAAUCUGGUUUAAAUUUUAAAAUGAACAGAGUUUGGUAGUGCUAACAAAAAAAACAUCAAAUAAAAGCAAAAUGACUCAUUAAGGGUAAAAUUGUUAUUUGCCAUAAAAAAAAAUCAGUUCUUCCUUCCUUUAUAUGUUGCUGACUGGGCAGAAACAAAAUAGAAAAUGAAAGAAAAGAAAAGGCGAGAGAAAAAGAGAGAAAAGUAAGGGAAAAACAUAAAAAAAAUCCUAGAAAAAAAGAUAAGAAAAGUGAGAAAAUAACCUUAUAAACUUAUAAAGUCCAACUUAUAAAAUAUUAAUCUAAGGAAGAAGCAAGUGAAGGAAGGAGGAAUUGAGAGAGGGAAAAAAUUUAAUUAUUUUAUUUUUCAGUUGACAUGAGAUUGUUAUUUUAUCCCGGUUAAGGGAUUGUUAUAAUAUCAAUUCAAAUUCGAUUAUAGAUGAAUUAUAUUUCACAAAACAUCGAAAGAUGUAACUUUAAUAGUGAGUUUAUUUUUACUUUCACUUUAAUUUUAUAUAUUUUUAAAUUUAUUUUUUAAUAUUUUAGGUAAUGUAUUUGAAUUAAAACUUUACUAUUAACUUUAAAAACUCAUGUACAUUAAUUAAUAAUUUAUCUUAAAAAAAAUAUUAUAUAUUUAUUUAAUAGUGCAGGACAGAAAAAAAAUCUAGCAAAAUUUAUUCUUUCCAACUUUAUUUGUUUUGACUGAAAAAUAAUCUUUUAUUUUUGUACUUCACAGGCAUGUGGUGGCAAAAGUCGAGCACGAUAUAUAUAUAUAUAUAUAUAUAUUUCUUAAGAUACAUAUGGCUGGUGAUUGGCGGAUGAUGGUGUCAUUAAGACUCUUGGUGUGUACCCUCAUCCUUUCUGUUUAUAGUUUAGUCCAUUUGCAGCUUUAAUGGCUACUAUCAGUUGCUUUGGAACCUGAUAUCACUAGUCUCAUUAUGGUACAGACAAGCUCAGGAUGAUCAAUCCUUGAGAAUCCACAUCCAACCAGAAAUAAACCGAAUUUCGAGCAUAAAUGACUCGAACUCGCUGGAAUGCUUUGGCACCUCCUUCAAUCCUAGUUUGGGAAACAGAAACACUAUCACCGUUAGUUUUCACCGAGGAAGACAGCACCCCCAUUCUCUCCUGCUGUGCUGAUGAUGGGGCAUGAGAGAUAGUCCAAAGGAUUUGCCUCACGUUGAAGUAUGCAACUGUCUAUGGUUAGCCUUCUCUUUUGUGAUGCAAGCAGCAACCAAGCUCUGCCUUCACUGCAUAAAGAAAUGAUUGAUUCACGAAGCCUGACUUCUUUGAAUUUGAAAGAUUAGAAUCAUUGGAAGAGAAAGAAGAAAAGGUGUAAAUGACAGCGGAAUGCUAUUAUACCAUCUGCCAAGGUAAUGCCAAGUCUACUUGCGAGGUAUUUAUAUCAUAAUUUUUAAAUAUUAGAUUGUCAGCGCAUACCAAGCAAAGAGCUUCGAUUCACAACGAAAUGAAUCCGUGCUAUGGGUUAUCAUCUGAUAUCAUCAUUCAUCAACAAUUAAUCGAAUGGGUUUAUACAUGAAAUGUUUUUAGUUUCUUAAUCAAUAAUUGAAGUUUUUAAUUGGAAGUCAAAUUAUUCUUAGAGAAUAAUAUAAUUAAACUAAACCUUGGUUAAUUGAUUGCUAGCAAAGGUGUACAUUUACAUGGCUUGAAAAUGAAGCUUAUCUUCCAUUUAAUUUUAUCAAAUAAAUUAUUUAUAGAGUAGUUUUGAGUGAUAUAAAUCAAAUAGGAAUUAAAUCAUGUUAAAACAUUUAAUUUUGUUGUCCCUUUAUAUUACAAACAGCAACAUUACGUAUCAUGUUUAUAAAUUCCAAACCACUCAUUUGAAACUAACGCUUUGUAUUUUUUUUAUAAAAUAAAAUAAAUCCUAACACUGAUGUGGACUAAAAUGUUUUUCAUAUAAAAUAUGAGGAUCAAAAAACUUUCAUGAACAUUUAAAAUAUGAUGUGGACUAACAUUUUUUUUUUGUUAAAAUUAGUUCGGUUUGUACUUUCUAGAUCGUUUUGAUGUGCUGAUAUCAAAAAUAAUUUUUAAAAAAUAAAAAAAACAUUAUUGGCAUACUUUUCGGCACGAAAAGCUAUUUGAAAAACAACAACUACCACACUUCCAAACACCCUCACUUAGUAUAAAAAAGAAAUCAUCACGUCGUUAUUUUCCACUCAGUAUAAAAAAGAAAUCACACGCCUUAGAGGAUAAAUAAGCAAUGCGAAAGUUAAAUAAAUUUAUGAAUUACCAGCAUAAUUCACACUAAUUCCCCUCUCUAACUUGCACCUCAUCAAUUUUUAUUCCUUUACUCUCGAACGAAAAUAAUAAUAUUUAAGUUAUUAAACCCAACUCGAAUUAUAAUUCAAGUAGGGGGUUAACAUAAAUCAAUACAAAGUGAUAUGACUUUAGGAGUUUUUUCAAAAAAACAAAUUAAAAUGAUGUGAACUUUUUUAAAUUAAAUUGAGUUUUAAUUGAUCAAAUAAGUUGGAUUACACCAGGUCAAAUUCUAUCCGAUUUAAUUUAAAAUUCAAUCUAAACUCUUAACUUACCUUCAGUCGGGUUUAAUAACAUAUUGACGUAACUUUAGACAAGUUAAGACAUGUUAUUUGUAUAAUCAGACCAAAUUCUCAAUCUUUAUUUAUCAUAAUAACGAUCCAACCCAUUAAUUUUAAAUGGGCCUAUAAAAACUCUAACUUGCCAUAAAAUCAGCAAUUUUACAUCCUAUUUUAUAAAAGACACUCCAACAUAAUUAAUUAAAAUAGUAUUUGAUAUUGUGGUAAUAAUUAUUUUUUAAAGUAUUUUUUAUUUAAAAAUAUAUUUAAAUAAUUUUUAAUUUUUUAAUUUUAAAAAUUAAUAUUUGACAUUACAUAUUAAAACAAUCUAAAAACAUAAUUUUUAAAAAAAGUUAUUAUUAUUUAAGAAAAACUGUAUCACCAUACAAACAAAUCCAAAAACACAAUUUUUUUAAAACAAUUAUUAUUCUUUUAAAAAAAAUUGUAUCACCAUAAAAACAAAUAAUUUCUAAGAGUGACAGUGAGCAACAGAAAUAAACCAUGGCAGAAACUAAAAAUACCUUUAACGGAAACUGUGCUUCGAUUCACAACGUUUUCAUCCUUGACCAAUGCUUGACAGAGUAGACGACGGGUCAGAACAGAGCUACCAGUCCUGCAUUUCUCGAAGGAUAGUUUUGGAAAUGCUCUAAGACCGUGGCCAUUAUGCUGUGUAUGUUUGAUAAUGCAGUGAAUAUAAUUUUAUAAAAAUAUUUUUCAAUUAAUAAAAUAUUUCUUAAAGAAAUUUUCAAUAAUUUUGUUAAGAAAUUUGCGUGGCCAGACAUUUUAAAGAAUGAUGCUAAAUUUGGGGUUACAUAGGCAGCUGCUGGCUCCUCUUGUAUCUUUUGGGUUAAAGGCAUCGUUUGUUUCCUGCCGUUGUCUAUUCUCCGGUCGUAGAAGCUGACUGCAAUCCUCCGACUCUGUUCUCAUAGUCAGAUGCUUCCUCUGUUUUCUCCUGGCAUUAAAAUUACAGCUCACCCUCAAAUCUUAUUGCCUCUGGUCAUUUUCUUGAAUGGUGCUUGGUGUUGUCUUCUAGCGUUUGCAGUAUCGUAAUUUGCUGGAGUUUUUGUAGUAUUUGAAUUGUGGGUGAUUGAGCUGCAGAAUUUGUGCAAUUGAAUUGAAUUUGUGCUAUGGGUUAUCACGCGAUAUCAUCAUUCAUCAACAAUUAAUUGAAUGGGUUUCUACAUUAAAUAUUUUUAGUUUCUUAAUCAAUAAUUGAAGUUUUUAAUUGGAAGUGAAAUUAUUCUUAGAGAAUAAUAUAAUUAAACUAAAUCUUGGUUAAUUGAUUGCUAGCAAAGGUGUAAAUUUACAUGGCUUGAAAAUGAAGCUUCUCUUCCACUUAAUUUUAUCAAAUAAUAUAAUUUUGAAAUAAAUUAUUUAUAGUAGUUUUGAGUGAUAUAAAUCAAAUAGGAAUUAAAACAUGUUAAAACAUUUAAUUUUGUUAUACCUAGGUCCCUUUAUAUUACUAACAACAAUAUUAUGUAUCGUGUUUAUAAAUUCCAAACCACUCAUUUGAAACUAAAGCUGUGUAUGCUUUUUAUAAAAUAAAAUAAAUCCUAACCUUCAUAUGAGGAUUAAAAAACAUUCAUGAAAAUAUAUGAAAAGCUAUUUUUGUCUCUAUGGGCUAGGUACGAUGUAUUCAGGUAUGGAUAUGGGUCUGGGCUUAGGAUGAUAGAUAUGGGUCCAGUAGGAGCACGAUAUUUUUUAAUGGUAAGGAAUGAGCUAUGCCUACCAGGCUGGUUACUCGGUCCAUUCACCUCUCUACCUGAGGCUUGUAUAGUUUAUUGAAAAAAACAAACUUAUAUCGUUUCUUUUAGAAUUCAUUUCUUUAUAAAGCAUGACAAUGUAACCAAAUUUGCAUUAUCUAUAUAAAAUAAAAGAAAAUAUAUAUUUUCACAAAUUCUACCAUAUUGCUCGACCAAAAUAUUUAUUUUUUGUUUCUAUACAUAUUAUAAUUAGUUACAAAUAUAACACCCAAUUUAAUAAAAUCAUAUGAGCAAAAUUCCAGGACUUUCCAUGGACAAAACCCAAUUUAAUAUAUAUAUAUAUAUAUAUAUAUAUAUAUAUAUUUCUCUACAUAUUCAAUAUAUUCAUCUAAAUGUAUUUAUCUGAAUGCUAUAUUAUCUUAUAAUUUAACUGGGACCAAAGAUAAAUGAUAACAUUUAUUUAAAUGCUAUUUAUGAUUGACACACAAAACCCUGUUUUCAUAGUUAAUUGAAGGAUAAUAAAUGGAAGAAUGACAAAUUGCCAGGUGGAAAGUUAUACCUCAUCACAACAAAUACUUUCCAGCCAAUUAAUUAAUGGCGGUUACAACUAAUUACAACAAAUACUCUUCACUUCUUCUCUAUAGUUAUGUUAAUGGUAAGAAAAGGUUGGAUAUUAGAAUUUUGAAAAAUAAAAUAAAAGAUAAGUGAUGUUCAGAUUAGAACUUGAUAUUUGAUAUAAAAUAUAUAUUUUUUAAUUAAACUUUAAUAACAAGUCAUAAAUCAACUCAAAAAUAGUAAAUAUUGUAAAAAAAAAAUGGUAAUAUUAUACACAAAAAAAGAGACUCAUGAAAUGACAUAAAAAAUAGAAUUUUUGUAUAUUUUUAUCUAUUCAUGAACUUGAACAUGAUUUAUAUUUAUAUAAUCAUACAUUUUAAUUGGAAAAUAAUCAAUAAAGGAAGAAAGAAUCGACUUUAAACAAAUAAAAAGAAAAUAGAAGAUGAAAUAUAAAUCACGUAAGAAUUAAGUCUUCUCGAAGACUAGCUUAAGAGUAAGAAAGAGGCAAAAUCUAUAGGAAUUUAAUUAAUAAAUGUUUCAUGCGUGUUGUUUCGAAUUGUAUAAAUAUAAAGAAAAUACAUUUAUACAUAUUAUAUUAUAAUGAAUAUAUUUUUCUGUGCAAAAUUGUUAUUAUUUUUUCAAAUCAAACCCCCGGUUUGAGUAUUGAGCAUAAAAAGAAUUUGGAUUGUUGAAUCAUUUAAACAAUUAGUGGAUCGCCAAUGAAUCAUUUUAUUAAAAUGAUAUUUUGCUUUUUUAUAAAAAAAUUUAUUAAUAUUGAUUUAACUAAGUUUGUAUCAGAUUUUACCAAAUCAAAUAAAUCAUUACAAAUUCAAUUGAGUAAUUAAGAUUUUAUCUUAUCAAUGUUUUUUUCUAAUUCAAUUUUAAACCUGGUUAAUGCCAGGAUCUGGAGGAUGUGCUUCCUAUAUCAAAUCACCAUGCAGGGAAGAGUUUAAACAUUUUUCAUUUUUCCUAUAUCAAAAAAUUACAUUUCUUAGCAAAACACACGAGUUAUAUAUAUAUAUUUAAACAAAUUACAAAUAAUCUAAUCAAUUGAUUAAAGUUGUGACACCUUAUAGUACGUAGACGACUAUAUAAUACUAUAAGAUAUUUAACAAUAUUUAUUUUUAUGAAGAGUAAUAUGUUGCUUGUCUAUGUAAUUUCUCUUUUAAAUUGGGUUUAAUUUCAAAAUCAACGUGUAACUUUGUACGUAGGGGCAUGUCAUGGGCAGUGUUGGACCAAAUUCUCAAUCUUUAUUCAUAGAGGUGGAUCAUGAUCGAGAUUCGAGCCUAUUAAUUUUAAAUGGAUCUACAAAACCUCUAUUCGGCCAUAAAAAAUAAAAUCUCAGGUGCCCAUCAAUGAUAGGAUCUAUUUUGUAAAAGACAUUUCAACAGUAUUAAAAUAAUGUUUAGUAACGUGAUAUCUGAUAUUUUUAAAAAUAUUUUUUUAUUUAAAUUAUAUAUUUUUAAAAUUUAUAUUUAAUAUUAUUAUAUUAAAAUAAUAUAAAAAUAUAAAAAUAUAUUUUUAAAAAAAAUCUUGGUGUCAAAGUGAGUGAAUAAAAAAAAUAAAUCAUGGCAGAAACCACGAACACCUUUAACAGCAAUGUCGUUUCAGUUUGACAGAGUUGUGUUAAAAAAAAAAUUCCUUCAAUUUGUAUUGACUUUUUAAUGUUUUAAGUUUACAGUGCUCCUAUAUAUAAACAGAGAAGAUGUUCUUAAAAACUAUGGAUUCCUGCUAUAAACAGGACUUAUACAAAUGUGGAAUAAAUCAAUUACUAAACUAUGGAAUAGGACUUAUACAACUGUGGGAUAAAUCAAUUACCAAACUUUUUCUUACAAACUCUCAACUAAAUCACUUUGUAAUUAUACUAACACUUUGAGUCAAGUUAGUGCAAAGAUAUCUUACCCAACUUGUCAAGGGAGCUCUGAAAGUUUUUGCUGAAGACAACUUUUGUAAAGAUAUUCGUGAGCUGAUUCUUUGAUUUGACAAAUGAAAAGUUAAUCACUUAUUAUUUAAGAUUUUGUUUAAUAAAAUGUUUGUCUAUUUCAAUAUGUUUCGUGUGAUCAUGUUAAAUUGGGUUAUAAAAUAUUUUAAUGGCAGCUUAAUUAUCACAGUAUAGGUUCGUUCUUGAUUUGGGAGCAAAACCAAUUUCUGAUAAUAAUCUUCUGAGCUAAAGCAGUUUACGUAGUCCUUUUACCGUCCCUUGAAACUCAACCUCUGUGCUUGACAAGGUAGCUACUUUUUAUUUCUUGCUUCUCCAUGUGACUAAAUUGCCACCAAUAAACGUGAAGUAUGCUCAUUAAUCUCAUGCAUAUUUUGAUUAUUUUGUUGAAUAUUUUAAUCAGGUUUAUGAUAUGGAUUCUUAUAAUAAAAUUUUCAUUUAAUUUUUUUAUUUUCAUGGGGGGUUUUAAUGUAGGGAACAUAGGAAGUGUAAAGGUGGCAACUUUUUUGCUUUAUUUUAUACCGUAUUUAAAGCCAGUGCCUUUGAGGUUUUAUGGCAGCCCAUCAACAAUAUUCUUAGUAGGAUCUUAUCAUUUAUGGUACUAGCCUGUUGGGCCUCCCUUUUCAUUAUUUUAAGCGUAGUUGCCACCCAUCUUUCUGUGGCUCCAUGUUCAUUCUCCAAACCAUUCAUAUAGGUAUCUUAAAUAGUGUAGCUGGAGCUUUACUGGGUAUGCUUUUUAAUAUAUUUUUAAGUAAAAUAUAUUUUUAAAAAUAUUUAAAAAACAAACAUUACUGUACUUUCAAAAACAUAAUCCUCUUGUAUCUGACGCUUUAAAUUCCAACAAUGAGUUACUGAUUAGAUAAUAUCUACAUUCAAUUAAAAAUAUAAUUUCUUGACAGCGAAAUAAAGAAAAAAGUAGCAACCCUGUAAUAUCUAGGUAAUUUCUAUGCUCUUUAAAUUAGGCCUCUAAACUGAGACUGUAAUGAGCCCAUGACAGAGGAAGACAUGAAAGUGUAAUUUCAGAAGACCAUUAUUCAUAUAACAAAUUUAGUAAAUUUAGUAAACUCGUAAAGUUAAACCGAUUUUACUAAUUCUGUACUAGUUAGAUUUGAUUUUAUUAAUUUUAAAUUUUUAGUUAGAUUUAGUAUGUUAAAUAUAUAUUAACUUAAAUUUUACUAAUAACUCAUAAUUUUAACAACCUUGCUUGUAAUAGCUCUUGUGGUGGUUGAUGUUUAAAAAAGAUAAUUGAGAAAUUAUUUUCACUCGUGACUUUUUUGAUUUAAAUAAGUAUUGAAUUAAAAAUAUUUAAUUAAAAUUAUUGUUUUAAUUUAAUUACCACAAAAGAUACUGGUGAAGGUGGAGAGGAUGCAAAAGAUGAUUGGGUAUCCUAUUAAUCGUCAAAACAUCAACUAUUGUGGUCAAUUCUGCUGACUGCUGAGACUAAAAGCCAACCACUUGAAUAAUGGGCAUUAGCUGUUUAGCACUCCUUGGUAAACACUUCAGGCUCCUUUCCCGCCCCUUUCCUCGCUGGUUCCUUAAUAGCUUCAAGGGGUGCGAGCGCCUCGUUCGAGGAUUGAGCAUAAAGGACUAAAAGAGUUCAAUAAAUACUAAAAGACAUAAAGUGAAGUUUUUAUAAUAUUCAUAGCAAUGGUCAUCAGCUAAUUUAUAAUUUAUUUAUCUACUUUAUCAAUGAAAUAAAAGUGAUAAAAGAAAAGGAGAGAAGAAAUAAAGUGAAGUCUUCUUCUGCAUUAUUAGCACAUCACGUGAAAAUAAAGAAUGGCAUAUAAUAAAAGUUAUUCCAAUCAAACCUCCUUUUUCAACCGAUGGGGUCUCUUGUCAAAUAAAGCAAGGACAGACCGAGUAAGAUGUGGGACCUAACUGCACUUUCCUGGCACGCGUAGUUCACGCAUACACAAGCACAUUCAGAAUAGUAUUCAAUUUAAAAACACAAAAAAAAAAUAAAGGAAUAAAAGAAGGAAAAGUGAUCAAAGAAGAAGAGAGAAGAAAUAAAGUGAAGUCUUCUUCUGCAUUAUUAGCACAUCACGUGAAAAGAAAGAUACAAACAAGAUUACUCCAUUUUCCAGUCACUUUUUCAACCGAUGGGGCUUCUUGGCAAAUAAAGCAAGGACAGACCGAGUUGAUGCGCUACGUAACUCCUUUUUCCUGGCCCGCGCAAUUCACGCAUACACAAACACAUCCAGAAUAAUAUUCAUAAAAUUAAUUAACAUCCCGUAAAAAUAUACUUUAAUUUAGAAAAGAUUUUAAAAUGUUAUUUUUCAAAUUAAUAAUAACAAAAUUUUAUAUUAAAUUGGUUCGCUUAAGUUAACCUAUUAGAUUUAUAAUUCAGGUUAUGAAAUUAUAAUACCUAGUUCACAAAUAACCAAAUAUGGUGAAGUUUUUCCAAUCAAACCCUUUUUUUUUUUUAAGAUGUAAUUUCUAGAAAAAUAAAUCAAAGACAAACAGAGUAAAAUUUCAAAAAAUAGAGAAAGAUGGAAAAUCCCACCAAUAUUUAACCCACUUAAAUUGAGUCCAAAUCAUAAAAGCAUCUACAAAGAGUGUGUUAAAUGAAAAGUUAAAAAUUAAAAAAUAUAUAAUUUUGACUCUUUCAUGUUUAUUUUACACACUUCAAAAAAAUAUUAAAUAAAAUAUUAAAAUAUUUUUUUUUCUUAUAAAUACUAUUUCUAAAUAUCUAUCAAAAAAACCAAUACUAAAAAAAUAGAGUCAUCAAAAAAUAAACCAAUUAAAUAUAAUUAUAUGAAAAAAUAUAUUUUAAAUAGUGCAGCCUGAGCUUAAUGGUUAAAAUAAUUUUAUAUUUUUUAUAAUUGUUAACAUCAACACAUUAAAAUCAUUAAAAAUAUUAAAAAAUCAAUAAUUUAAUAUAUUUUUAAAUAAAAUAUAUUUUUUAAAAAAACAUAUAAAUUACUACUAUUAUUUCAAACACACAAUCCUAUUCCAUCUUAAAAUCUGAGCUAUUAGGAUAGUAAAGUUAAUUCGUUAAAUUUACAAUUGUGGUGGUGGGAUAUUAAAAAAAAUCUUAUAUUAAAAUUAAAAAUUUUAAAAAUUCUUGAAUAAAAAAACAACAAAACAAUUAUUCAGGUAAUUGUAUAAAAUAUAAUAAUAUAAUGUAUAAUUUAUAAUUGAUUUAUUUACCUUAUCAGUCUUCUGCUGCAUGAUCACAUCACGUGAAAAGCUUGGCAUUUAGUGAUGUUUUUCCAAUCAAACCUCCUUUUUUCAAAGAUGGAAUCUCGAGGUAAAUAAAUCAAAGACAAAACCGAGUAAAAUGGAGUCCAGAGCAUAAAAGAAUCUCCAAUGAAGCUGCUAAAUGAAUAACUAAAAAUAAUAAUAAAAAAAAAAUUGUUUUUGUUUGUUUUUUAUAUUUCAAGAAGAAAAUCAAAUAAAUCGUUAAAAUAUUUUUUUUUCACAUAAAUAUUAUUUUUAUAUAUCUCUCAAAAAAAUCAAAAUUAAUAAAAUAAAACCAACAAAAAAAAGCCAAUUAAAUCUAGGUAUCUAGAAAAAAAUAACUUUAAAAUCAUUAAAAAAAAAAAAUGUUUAUUUAUUUCACUUUAUCUCGAAAAACAGUAACUUUAAAAUCAUUAAAAAAAAUAAAAUGUUUAUUUAUUUCACUUUAAUAGAAUUGGCUUUUCAAUGUAUUUUUUCUAUUGGAAUAUAUAUUGUAAAAAAAAUAUAUUUAUAUUAUUUAAAAUACUAUUUUAUUAGUUUAUUUUUUUAAAAUAAUAUUUUUUAUUAAAGAUACUCCAACAAGGGCCGAGAGAGCAAAGGCUUUUACGAGUUCUGUGUUCCGUAUACUUCUCAAGGGGAAAAAAAUAAUGUUUUGUUAGAGAUUUGUUUUUGAUAGAAUUGUUAGCGAUCUUAGCCGAUGCAUCUGGAUUAUAAUUUUUAGCAUUUAUACUAUUUUAUAGCGCUAAUAUCUUAAAAAAACUUAUUUUCUAGCUUUUUUUUCAUGGUAUAAUAAAAUAUUAAAAAAUAUUUUUCAACUCAUUAUCCUUAAUACAAUUAAAUUUCAUAGAAUAGUCUAUUUUUUAGAAAUAUAGUUUACUAUGAGAUUUAUUGGAUAAAAGAAAUUCACUUUGUAACAAUGCACUAGAAACUAAAAAAAAAUAAGCUAAUGAUCAUUUAAAAAUAUAGUAUAUUGGAAUCAUCUUGCUGAAUAGGUGAGUUUGGGAGUUUGGUUGCUUAACAGGCGAGUGAGGGUUAAAUGUAUCCAAUUAAAUAAUAUCUACAUUCAAUUAAAACUUAUGGUACAAUUACUUGACAGCAAAAUAAAGAAAAGCAGGAACCCUGUAAUAUCUAGGAAAUUUCUAUGCUCUUUGAAUUAGGUGCCCAAACUAAGGCUAUAAUGAGCCCUGAAUUUACACAGAAGAAAUUUCAUGGGAAAUGGGUUGAUGUCAGAGGCAGACACGGAAACGUAAUUUCAGAAGACUAUGACUCAAAUCAGUGGCUGAAAUCCAAUCACUCAAGGGAUGGUGACACGUUGUCUUGAGUGGGAGACAACUGGUCUUCAGUACAAAGAGAAACAACGUUUUUUUUUUAUUAUUAUUAUUAUUAUUAAAAGCGAGUGUACGAGUUACUUCCAUGUUUUUUAAUUAAUUUUAAAAUUAAUAAUUAUAUAAAUUUUUAAUAAUUAUAAAAAAGUUUAAAUUCAUGAAAAGAUUUGAAUUCAUAAUUAUUAAAAUACAAAUAUAUUUUCCUGAGUGUCUUUGCUCUCGUGACAGCUCACGAUGGUGGGGGGUUUAAAAAAAAAUUUAAAAAAUAUUUUUACUUGUGAUUUAUUUAAUUUAAAUAAGUAUUUAAUUAUAAUUAUAAUUAACGAUAUAUUGUAACUAAAAUUACUAUAAAAAAGAACAUAGUGAAGGUGGAGAGGAUGAGAAUAAUGAUUGGAUAUCUUAAUAAUUGUAAAAAGAAAGUAUUUUUUUAUGGUGAAGUUAUUUGUAUAUGAGAAAAGACUGAGUUUUGUAGCUCAGAAAAAAUAAACAUGUUGAUAUUGCUUUUUAAUAACCCAUGAAUGGACCGUAAAUUGCAACGGGUUCACAAACACAAACAUGUGCUUCACAUGUAACCAAACUUAUUGUUAUCUGCAUUAAAAGCAAAAGAUGCUAAAAACACACACAUUUGAUCGUUGAAGAUGUUUUUAAAUUGUUUUCUUAAUUAUUUUUCAUUUAAAAAAAUAUGAAUCAAAGAAGUUUAAUAAUUAUAAUUAUUAAAUAUUUUGAAAUAAAAUGAUCCAUCUAUAUUAAAAAAAAACAUCAUUCCCACGUGUGGAAGAUAAAAUUAAUCAACCUAAUCUUAUUGGAUUGCAUUUUAUUAAAUCAAACCAUCAGUAUCUUUAAUGCAGGAUAUUUUUGUUUUUCCAAUUCAAGUAUACUUUUUAAUAUAAUAAAUUUUUUUAACCUAUUUUUUUAUUAUUAUUUUAGUAUCAUUUUGUUAUUUCUAAUAGUUUGUGGUUACCAGUUUAGUCCUGAAUUCAUUAUUAGAACCAUCAAUUUUAAAAAUCAAUGUAAGUUGAUUUUUAUUAUUUUUUAUUUUUUAAAAUUAAUUUAUUAAAAAAAAAUUCCAUGAUUUCUUUUUAAGAGACUAACCCUUCAUCGACAAACACUAAUGUACCCUGAAAAACAUAAUCUUAUUACAUCUGACGCUUUAAAUUCCAACAAGGAGCACCUACACAUCGAAAUAAAGAAAAGUACUGAGUGCCUUGGCGGUGGGAGGAGCUCUGCUCCUGAGUUCGAGUGUUUACAUGUAUAUCUAUCAUUCUCGUGGUGUUUUAUAUAUCUAUUGGGUUUAUAAAGUAUUCAGUGGGAUUAGUUGUGGUGCGCGCAAACUGACCCGAACAUCCAAAUAAAUAAAUAAAUAAAGUAGAAACCCUGCAUGUGGGAAAUUUUUGUUAGGCCUCCAAUCUGAGGCUGUAACGAGCCCUGGAUCUACACACAAGAAAUUUCAUGGGAAAUGGGUUGAUGUCAUAGGGAGACAAGGAAGCGUACUUUCAAAAGACCAUGAGACAAAUCAACGGCUGAAAUCCAAUCACUCAAGGGAUGGUGACAUGUUACCAUGAGUGGGAGACUGCUAGUCUCCAUCUAAAUGUUUAAAGAUGACUGGGUAUCUUAGUAAUUGUAUAACAAUUGAUUUUUUUUGCUGAAGUUGUCGGUGUGGAUGAGAAAAUACUGAGUUUGUAGCUUAGUAAAAACAUGUUGAUGUUGAUGUUACUUUUUAUUAGCUCAUGGUUGGCCCGUAAAUUAUAAUGGGUCCCACAAUCACAAACCUAUGAUUCACAUGUAAUUUAUGUUUUACAACUUAUUUUUAAAAUUAUUUUUUAUAUAUAUUUUUAUACCAUUUUUAUUUUAAAAAUUUUAAGUUUAAAAAAUAUUAUUUUAAUAUAUUUUUAAAUAAAAAAUACUUAAAAAAAAAAUUAAUAUCAGACACAGUGAAUGUUUUAUAAAAUUUUACAAUCGCUUUUACAUUUUGUUUAGAUCACAUUUGAAAAUGCGGUACACUACAAUAAAGUCCGUUAUAUGAUUAAGGGUAUGUUUGGUAUUGCGGUUGCUGUUGUGAUUGUAAUUAUGGUUUUAAAAAAAAUUGUUUUAUAAAAAGUAAUUUUAGUUGAGGUUGGUUUGAAAAAAUAUAUGUUUGGUUAAAACUGUAGUUGAAAUUGAGGUUGAACAAAAAAUAGUUUAAUGUGUUUGGUUAAAAAAAUGUUUUUCAAAUUGAUGUUAUAAAAUCAUUAAUAUAUAUAUAUACUAAUAUUAAUUAUUUUUAAUUUAAAUAUUGUAGAUUUAACUACUGUUAUUACAUCAUGAAAUAAAUAAUAUUAAUAUCAAAUAUUUUUUAUUAUUAGAUUAAAAUAUAUGUAAUCUCAUUACAUAUGAAAUCUAUCAAACAAGGACUAUAUUUUUCAUGGUUUCUUAAGCGUGCAACAACAAAAACUGAUUUUUUAAAUUUAUAUAGUGUUAUUAAAUAAUAAAGAUUGUGAUAUAUUUAUUAUUGAAAUUGCGAUCAAAUUUCAUAAAUGCUACGUCAUCAUGCGAUAUCUUUCUAAUUUAUAUAGUGUUAUUAAAUAAUAUUAAAUACUAGUUUUUCGAGUAAAACAAUUUAAAAAAAUAUAUAUAAUUUCACUACGUACAAAAGUUAUUCGACAAAAACUACAGUUUUCAUGAUUUUUUGAGCAUGUAAUAAAAUUAGGUAAAAUAUUAUCACGAAUAAAAUUGAGAUUACAGUACGAGUAAAUUUAAUUCACCUUAAACUAAUUUUUUUAAAAAAAAUAUCGUUUACUAUUAACUGCACUGGUUUUUUAGGGGGGAAAAUAAACUUUGCUCACCGGUUUUUUUUUUUAAAAAAAUAAAUAAAUAAACUUUUCUUACAGAUUUUUUCUUUUUUUAAAAAAAGAAGACAUGGUGACAAUGGAGCCAUGCUCCACUGUUAAGUGGUUGUUACCCACGAGAAGCAGUAAAAAUAACGUGGACCCUAUCAAGCAAAAUCAAUCUUGCUUGAUUACCAAACAUUAAAAUAUGUGGCUGCGAGUAAACUCGCCACACUACCAAACAACAUCUAAAGUCUUUAAUUGUCUUGCAUUUAUCUUUAAAACUGCUAUAAGAAUUAAUUAAUUGUGUCAAUUCAAUUCUUUCGAUUGACAUUGAUGCCAAACAUGUUAAUUCAUGAUAUAAUUAAGCAAUUCAAUACAAAUUUACUAAUAUAAUUUAUUUCGGCUUAAACCUUUGAAUAAAGCAAAAUGCAGAGGUUGUGAAAGUGAAAUACCUUAAUAAUUUUUAUGCUUUACAACUCUAGGAGCCACACAAAAUAUAAUGCGUUUGUUACUAUUUAUUUGUUAAAAAGUAUUUUUUUUAUUAAAAAAUGAUUUUUUAAAAAAUAAAUUGAAAAAUAUUUUUUAAUAUUUGAUUAUUUUAUAUAAAACAAGCCAAAAAAUAUUUUUUUAAUUUUCUUCUCAAAUUUAUUAAAAGAAUAAGAAACAAAUAUUUCAAAUAAAAAUAUUGAAGGAAGAUGAAAUUAAAAAAUAUAUAUAUUUUUAUAAAUUAUUUUAAAUAAAAUAAAUAAUAAUUAGAAGAAUAAGAAACAAAUGAAAAAUUAAAAAAUUAAAAAAAAAUAAAACAGAAAUAAAUAAUAAUCAAAAUAAAAAAUUAAUACAAAAAUAAUAUUAAACCAAUAAUUUAAUUUAAAAAAAAACAAAAUAUAAUUUAUAAUUUAUAAUUUAUUUAUUUGCUUUAUCAAUGAAAAGUGAUGGUAGGAGGGAGAGAGAGAGGAAAUAAAGUGAAGUCUUCUGCUGCCUGAUCACAUCACGUGAAGAGCUUGGCAUUUAGUGAAGUUUUUCCGAUCAAACCCACUUUUUUCAAAGAUGGAAUUUAUUGGAAAAUAAAUGAAAGACAAACCGAGUAAAAUGGAGUCCAGAGCAUACAAGAGCCGAGAUUGAAACAGGAAAUGCAAGAAAAAGAAGAUGGGCCCUUGUUUUCUCUUUUUACGGCCGGCGACCGGAUAUAAAAAGGGAGGAGAUGAAGCUUUCAAAUUAUUUUCAAUUUUGCGGUCACUUAUUGUGUCCAUGUCAUUUUGUGUAAUUGCCCAGCUACCGGUACUAUUUUAACACUGUUAAAAGUCUAAAUCAUCAAUAUUUCCCCAAUUUAUCUCUAAAAAAAAUUCACUUCAAUUAAUAGCAUUUUUUUAUUAUUUCUUAUGUCAAUGUUUACCUCUUUUUGAUAAACUCGUAUAUUUUUGUACCAGAGGUCUAAAAUUAUUCUGUCCACUUAUUACUUAUUUAAAUUUAUUAGAAUGUUUUAAAUAACUUUUUUAAAUUUUAAUCCCAGAGUUUACAUGCAUAAUACAUGAGUUAUAUAAAUUAUGAUUCAAAAUAUUGUUAUAACUAAAUUAAAAGAAAAAUUCAGAGUUAAUUUCUUGAAUAUUAAGUUUUCUGAUUUUUCUAUAUAAUUAAUUUUUUAAGUUGAUUUGAUUAGUAUUAUUAUACUUUUCUCAUUCUCGAUAAAAGAAAAAAGAAAAAACCAGAAGAGUAUUUUCUUUCUAUUGAAAAUAUUUGUGGUUAGAAGAAAGUAAUUUUCACUGGAGUGUCGUUUUGGGAUGCAACAUGAACUUGACCUGUCUAAUUUGUACGGCAUGAGAAGAUGUUGCUUUACAUGGCUUCCUCCUUAAAAAAAUUCCAUCACAUUUGAGAAUUUUGUUAUAAAAAAGAUAUCUCUUUUAAAGAAGAAAAGUGAUACCUAAAAUUUAUAAAUGAUCUAAACUCUUAAUUUUUAAUCGAUGUAAAAUGUUAGAGUAUCAUGUUCCUGAAAAAAUCUUUCUAAGUGUAUAAUAUGUUGCAUUUGGGGCAAAAUUAAUAGUUUUGAAUGUUUUUAUUACUGAAACUUUUUUUUUUCUCAACCUCUUUUUCUCUCUCUUCUUGUCAAAUACAAAAGGUUUUUUUUUUAAUUUUUUAAAUAAUUUUAUUUUUAUUUAUUUUAUUUUUAUCUUUUGUAGAUUUGUUUUUUUAUUUAUUUUGUUUUUUAUCGUUUGAUUUUAUUUAUUUUUUUAUUAAACAUUAACUUUAUUUUUAUUUAUUAUUUUUUUAAUUAAACAUCCUUUUUAAUUUAUCUCUUAAUAUUUAAUUUUAAUAUCAAAUUUAAUUAGUCCUAUUUUAUCUUACACUUUAAAUUCCUACAAGUACCCGAUCAAACAAUAUCUGCAUUCAAUUAAAACUUAUGGUACAAUUACCUCAUAGCGAAAAAAAAAAAAAAGUAGAGACCAACUAAGAAAUUUAUGUGCUGUUCCCAGCUAUGUUGCUGACAUUGGACAAGAGAGACUUCUUCAGCCACCGAUAAAAUUAUUUUUGUUGACUUUUUGUGCAGUUUGUCACUUUGCUUCGAUCUUUCUCUCUUUGCACCACAAACACUUGGACAUGGUAGAUACCAAGCACGGUUUUGCUGUCAAUGUACGAUACCAUAUUUGACAAUAUCUUUUUUUUUCUUUUUUCUUUUUUAUGAAGAGUAGUAUGUUGGUUAUCUAUGUAUGUUUUUUAAAAAAUCACAUAUAUAUUUAUCUAAAAUUAUUGAUAUUUAAAAAAUUACAUUAUUUUUUUAAUAAUUCGUUCCGCUGUUCUUUUAGAAUUAAGCGAAUAUUAUGCAAAGCUUCAAGUUUUGUGUAAUUGUUUUUAAUACAAGAGAGUUUAACCAUUUUAAAAUGUUUAAUGAGUUAUUUAAAAUAUUGAAAGUAAUGUACAAUAACUAAUUUAUAAUUUUAUCAUUGCUCUUGCUUUAUUAUAGGUCAAGUCAAGAUUUUCUUAAAAAUAAAAAAUUAUUUAAAUUGUGAAUGUUUUAAUUUAUUCUGGUAAAACAAAUUUAAAUUGUGUGGUGAUUUAACUUGAUUGAAUUUGUAGUUUAAAAAACAAUCUAGAUAACCAGUAAAAAUAUAAUUUAACUCGUAAAAAAUUUCAAGAUUACAUAUAUUUUUUUAAUAUUAAGAUAACAACAAAUUAAUUGAUUUGGGUCAACUCAAUUUAACUUAUUAAAUUCAUAACCCGAGUUAUGAGAUUAUGAUAACCAUGUAGAAAAUAAAUUAUUAAGUCUAAUUCUCAACUACCAAAUAUUAAAAGAUAAAAUUAAAAUAAAUAAAUAAACCAUGUGGAGAUUGAUUCGAUGUGACUUAAUUGAUUUAGCUUGUUCAAAAACAACCCGGAUAAUCAGUAAAAAUAUAAUCUGACUUAGAAAAAAAUUCAAGAUGAUACUUUUUUUCCAAUACAAAGAUAAUAAAGUAAUAGAUUGAAUUGGGUUAACCAGAGUUAACUUGUUAAAUUUUUUAUCUGGGUAUAAGACUGUGAAAUCUAAUUCCUAUUCAACUAAAUAUUUAAUGGUAUAAUUGAAAAAUAAAAUCAAUUAAAAAAUGAUCUAAAAAUAUGAACAUAAUUAACAUGUCAAGUUCAUAACCUAUGUUAUAAUAAAGAUACAAUCUUAUAGAAAAAAAAAAUCAAAAUAAAUUAUGAAGUUCAAUCUUAAAUAACCAAAUUUUAAAAGAUAAAUUUUUUUAAAAAGAACGUAAAAAUGACCCGAGUAAAUCCACCAAACUCAUAACUCGUUAUGAGAUCGAGAUAAUCUUAUAUAAAAAAAAAUUACAUGAUUUAACUCGUCAAAUCUAUGACUUUGGUAACAAGACCAAGACAACCUCUUAAAGAGUAAAUAAAAAUAAAUUAAAAGUGCAAUCCCUAAUUGACCAUGUCAAACUCGAUGUGAAUGAUGCAAUUUCUAAAAAUUUAAAUUAAAAAAUAACAUAAAAAAUAAUUUAGACCAACCCGUCAAGCAUCAUUAUUAGAUUACGAGGCUAGGAUAACAUAAUAAAAAUAAAAUCAAAACAAACCACAAAGUCUAAAUUCUAAUAAAAUAUAUUAUUAAAUAAUAAAAUUGAAGAAAAAAAAUUAAUUAAAAGAAAUUCGAGUCAAUUAGGCUAACUUGCUAAGCCUGUGAGUUAGGUUAUAAAACAAAAAUAACCCAAUAAAAAGUAAUUUCACUAUUGAAGGACUCGUGAUCUACGUCAUGAAAUCAACAUAACCUCUUACAAACAAAAUAAAAAAAAAACAACUCAAUUUAAUUUGGAUUAAAAUGUCAAAACCUCCACCUCUAAUCAUAAAACUAGGAUAAUUAUAUAGAAAAUAAUUUGAAAUAGAUUAUGAAAUUCCAUUCCCAACUGACAUUAUAUCAAAUGAUAAAGUUAGAAAAAAAAUUCAAUUAAAAAAAUAUAAAAUAUAACCCGAGUCAAUUUAGGCUAAUAUGUUAAGUAUUAUUUCCAAUUUAUGAGGUUAGAAUAAUCUAAUACAAAACAAAUAAAACAAAAUAUGAAACUUAAUUUUUAAUUAAAAGAUAAAAUUGUAAAAAAAAUUUAAUUAAAAAAAAUCAAGUUAAGUGAGUGAAUCCAUUAAAUCUACAAUUUUUAUUAUAAAAGUGAGACAACUUAAUAAAAAUAAAUUAAUAUUAAAAUAAAAAACAUUCAAUAAAAAAAACACUCAUUCAGAUAAUUGUAUAAAACAUAAUAAUAUAAAGUAUAAUUUAUGAUUUAUUUAUUUAUUUUAGCAUUUAGUGAAGUCUUUCCAAUCAAACCCCUUUUUUUUUUUUAUAAUUUAUAAAAAAUAAAAAUAUUUUAUUUUAAUAAAUGUUUAAAUAAAAAACAAUAAGAGACAACCGUGACCACUUAAAUGGACUCCUAAGCACACCAAGUUAAGAGUUAAAGAGCCGAGAGAGAAAAAGCUUUUGCCAGUUCUUUACACAUUCUUUCCCCUUCUGUCACCUGAACAAAAUCCCCUCUUCUUCUUCUUGUUUGUUUACUCUUCCUUCGUUACUUUGCAAAGAGGAGAAACCAUGGCCGGGGCUUUAGUAGGAGGAGCUUUUCUUUCUUCUUUCCUUAAUGUUUUGUUCGACAGGAUGGCCUCUCCCCAGGUGAUUGCCUUCUUCAGAGGCCAAAAAGUCAACGAUAGUAGUCUGCUGCAGAACUUUGAAGAAAACAAUGACAUCUCUCAGGGUGGUGCUUGAAGAUGCUGAGGAGAAGCAGAUAACAAGUUUAACUGUGCGGGAUUGGCUGGUCGAUCUUAAAGACGCUGUCUAUAACGCCGACGACUUCUUGGAUGAGAUUGCUUAUGAAGCUCUACGGCAGGAGUUGGAAGCUGAAGAGCAAACCUUCACAGGUCAGACGCAGAAGCUUCUUUCUUUCAUUAACCCACUUGAAAUACUGGGGUCGAGAGAGAUCGAAGAAAAAAUAGAAGUCCUUUUGCAGGAUCUAGAUCCCUUAGUUGCAGGAAUGGCAGCCCUUGGUUUGAACAACCGCAAUGUAGAAAAUCCAUCAUCGCAUAGAACACCAACAACUUCUCUCGUGGAUGGAUCUGGUGUUUAUGGCAGAGAUGAUGACAGGGAAGCAAUACUGAAGUUGCUUCUAUCAAAGGAUGCAAAUGGAGGAAACCCUGGUGUCGUCCCCAUUAGGGGAAUGGGCGGGGUUGGUAAAACCACGCUUGCUCAGCUUGUAUACAAUCACAGAAGAGUACAGAAGCGGUUCGACCUCAAAGCUUGGGUUUGUGUUUCAGAAGAUUUCAGUGUUUUGAAGUUAACCAAGGCGAUCCUUGAGGGGUUCGGUUCAAAGCCUGCUUCUGAUAAUCUGGAUAAGCUCCAGCUUCAGUUGAAGGACAGAUUGGAGGGAAAGAGAUUCUUGCUUGUUUUAGAUGACGUUUGGAAUGAAGAUUAUGCUGAGUGGGACAAGUUGCUUACCCCCCUGAAGUACGGAGCACAAGGGAGUAAGAUUCUUGUCACAACACGCAAUGAAAGUGUAGCAUCAGUCAUGAGAACUGUUCCAACUCAUCAUCUAAAAGAAUUGACGGAAGACAGCUGCUGGUCCUUGUUUGCCAAACAUGCAUUUCGUGGUGAAAAUCCCAAUGCUCAUGAAGAGUUGCUAGAGAUUGGAAGAGAAAUAGUGAGAAAGUGUAAAGGCCUUCCUCUAGCUGCGAAAACACUCGGAGGUCUGCUACGCACCAAAAGAGAUGUCGAGGAGUGGGAGAAGAUAUUGGAAAGCAAUCUAUGGGAUUUACCCAAAGACAAUAUCCUCCCAGCUUUGAGAUUAAGUUAUCAUCAUCUCCCGUCACAUCUGAAGCAAUGUUUUGCUUAUUGUGCCAUAUUUCCAAAAGACCAUGAAUUUCAAAAGGAUGAAUUAGUGCUCUGUGGAUGGCAGAGGGCUUCUUAGUCCCUCUGCAGUAGAUGAUGAGAUGGAAAAGCAGGUGCUGAGUGCUUUGAUGAUCUCUUGUCAAGGUCGUUUUUCCAGCAAUCAAGUGCCUCGCUCAUCAUUUGUGAUGCACGAUCUCAUGCAUGACUUGGCUACCCAUGUGUCCGGUCAAUUUUGCUUCAGCUCCAGGUUGGGGGAAAAUAAUUCUUCCAAGGCCACAGAAGGACUCGACAUUUAUCACUCGUAGUAGAUACGGGAAGGGUUUUUCAAGCACAAAAUUAGAAAACAUCCGUGAAGCCCAACUUCUACGCACAUUCCAACUUUUCACGCUAUUGUUGUCCUCCCGAAUUUAUAAUGAGAUCUUUCAGUCAACACUUGGGCGCCUACGAGUGCUAAUCAUGACUGGUUGUAGAGAUCAACUUGUUAUGUUCAACUAGCAAGUUGAAGCAUUUGCGGUAUUUGGAUCUCUUCGGUCAGAUUUAGUAACGUUGCCUGAAGAAGUGAGUGCUCUUCUCAAUUUGCAAACGUUGAUCUUGAAAAUGCAAACAACUUGCUAGUCUACCUGAUCUUGGAAAUUUGAAGCACUUACGACAUCUGAAUCUUGAAGGAACAAGGAAUCGAAAGGUUGCCUGAAUCUCUGGAAAGGUUAAUCAACUUGCGGUAUCUUAACAUCAAGCACCCUUUGAAAGAGAUGCCACCACAUAUAGGUCAACUGGCAAAGCUCCAAACGUUGAAUUAUUUUCUCGUGGGAAGACAGAGUGAGACUAGCAUUAAAGAAUUGGGAAAGCUACGACAUCUACGGGGAGAACUUCAUAUUGGGAACCUUCAAAAUGUGGUGGAUGCUCGGGAUGCUGGUGAGGCAAAUUUGAAAGGUAAAAAGCACCUUGAUAAGCUGAGGUUUACAUGGGAUGGUGACACUCAUGACCCGCAACACGUAACAAGCACACUUGAGAAAUUAGAGCCAAAUAGAAAGCUGAAGGAUCUUCAGAUUGAUGAUUAUGGAGGUGUAAGGUUUCCAGAGUGGGUAGGAGAGUCCUCUUUCUCAAAUAUAGUGUCCUUGAAGCUCAAUGGAUGUACAAACUGCACCUCCUUACCACCGCUCGGGCAAUUAUCUUCUUUAGAGGAUCUCUCCAUUGAAGGAUUUUAUAAAGUUGUGACUGUGGGCUCUGAGUUCUAUGGGAGUUGUACUGCUAUGAAGAAGCCAUUUGAAUCCCUCAAAACAUUAUCUUUUAGAAGGAUGCCAGAGUGGCGCGAGUGGAUUUCAGACGAAGGCAGCCGGGAAGCCUUCCCUCUUCUUGAUGUGCUUUUAAUCGCAGAAUGCCCCAAAUUAGUUUCAUUUCCCAAAGGAGGGUUACCUGCUCCAGUCUUGACACGACUUGAGUUAGAAGAAUGCAGGAACUUGAAGCAGUUGCCUGAGAGUAUGCAUUCCCUCUUCCCAUCCCUUACCGAUUUGGUAAUAAGAGAUUGUUUAGAAGUUGAGUUGUGUCCAGAAGGGGGUUUUCCCUCCACAUUACAAUCACUUGAGAUUUCUAGAUGCAACAAACUCAUUGCUGGCCGCAUGCAAUGGGGCUUGCAAACGCUCCAUUCUCUUUCACGCUUUACAAUUGAUUGGGACGAAAAUGUUGAAUCCUUCCCUGAAGAGAUGCUGCUGCCCUCAAGUCUUACAUCUCUUAGAAUCUAUUCCCUACAACACCUGAAAUCUCUUGACUACAAGGGGCUUCAACACCUCACCUCUCUUAGAACAUUGAAUAUAAAGAACUGCCCUCUGAUUGAGUCAAUGCCAGAAGAAGGGUUGCCCUCCUCCCUUUCUUCUCUUGUAAUUGAAGGUUGUUCCAUGCUGAAAUCUCUUCCAAGGCUUCACCACCUCACCUCUCUUACAGCAUUGGGUAUAUAUGGCUGCCCUCUGAUUGAGUCAAUGCCAGAAGAAGGGUUGCCCUCCUCCCUUUUUAUUCUUUCAAUUCUCAAUUGUCCUCUGCUGGGUGAAAGUUGUGAAAGGGAGAAAGGUAAAGAUUGGCCCAAGAUUUCUCACAUUCCUCACAUAAGUAUAUAUUGAGGUAUUGCUACUAAAUAGUUUAUUUUCUUUUCAGUAAUCAAAGGCAAUUUCAGUUAAAAUUUGGAUGAAUGAAAUACAGAUAUUGUCCAUUUUGUAUUGUUUAUAUUUGUUGGAUGUUGAAAUACAGAUAUUUUCUUCCUAUUGUCUCUCAUUCAUCUCCAUAAAUAAUAAUCAUCAUUCUAUUUCAAUAUAUCGAGCUGGAGGAUCAUCACAUGCUUCAGAUUUUGAACUGCCAGCACCAUCCUUAAUUUGGACAGGGGGCUAUUAUCAUCGAAUUUUAGCAACGGGAUAUUUCUUUUGCUAAUUUAACAACAGAAUGUGUAUAUAUGAUUUUUUUAAUAUCAACAAUGAAUUUAGUAAUAGAAAAUCCAUUGCUAAAAAGGAUUAAAAAAUUAAAUUAUUUAACUAAUUUGCAGCGGAUUUUUCAUUAUUGACGCUCUUGGCAACAUCAAAUCUGCAACUGAUUCCAAAAAUAAAUCAAACCCUUAAUUAUAUAAAAUCUGCAUCUUCAAAAAUUAAAAUAAAAUUAAAAUUCACCAUCUCUUUCUCUAGUCUCUUCCCUUCUCCAAAAAAUCAAAAUUCAAAAACUUUUUUUUUUAUCUUUUAUAUAUUAUUUAACUUUGAUUAAAUUGUUUUUAUUCCAUAUAAAGCAGAAGUUAAAAAAUGAUUUUGGAGUACAUGUAAGUCAUAUCUUUUUUGGAAUUUGCUUUGAUAAAAAACAGACAUAAAGAGAGAAGAUAAUAUAAAAUUCAUGACUCCUUAUCGAUAUAUAUAUAUUUUUUUUCCUUAGUUCAUUCGUUUGAUUACAUUUUUGCUUCAACUCUCAUCAACACUCCCUUGUUUCGUUGCACGGCAUCAUUUAAAUGUACAUGGCUUGUGUUAUGUUCGGGAACAAAUAUUGGGCCAUUAACCUUUUCAAGCAAUGAUGGAGUAGGAGUGCAGUUAAAGAACACGCCCUAGCUGUUUGACAGAAUGCCGAUGAAGAUGAUAGUCAUUUUAGUGGUGCUGCUUGUAACAACCCAGGUAAGAAAACUAACGACCUCUUGAUGUGGUUUUCUAGGAAAUAAAUUAAAUGUUUUUAUUUGUUCAUGUGUUUUCUUCAGGAGGUGGUGCUAACCAGAGAAAGCUAAAGCAGAGGAGGAUGGCCAACAUGUUGGAAAGGUAAAAGGAUGAAGCCUUUUGUUAGAGGUCUAGGUGCUGUUGCACUAACAAAAGCACAUUGCCUUGAGGAAGCCCUCAAGUCUUACAUCUCUUCACAUCUAUUCCCUAAAACACCUGAAAUCUCUUGACUACAAUGCCAGAAGAAGGGUUGCCCUCCUCCCUUUUUGCUCUUUUUAUUAACAAUUGUGAGAGGGAGAAAGGGUUAAAUGAUCUUUGUAUAUUUGACUGUCCAGAUCUGGAAUCACUAUGUGCACAUGAAAGACCUCUCAAUGAUCACAACUCUCUCGAUUAUUUGGAAAUCGAGGACUGCCGUAAAUUAGUUUCAUUUCCCAAAGGAGGGUUACCUGCUCCAGUCUUGAGAGGACUUCAUUUAGAAGGUUGCAGCAACCUGAAGCAGUUGCCUGAGAGUAUGCAUUCCCUCCUCCCAUCCCUUAACCGUUUGUAUAUAAGUAACUGCCCUUUGAUUGAGUCAACGCCAGAAGAAGGGUUGCCCUCCUCCCUUUCUUCUCUUGUAAUUAACAGUUGUCCUAUGCUGAAAUCUCUUCCAAGGCUUCAACACCUCACCUCUCUUACACGAUUGAAUAUACAUCACUGCCCUCUGAUUGAGUCAAUGCCAGAAGAAGGGUUGCCCUCCUCCCUUUCUUCUCUUGUAAUUGAAGAUUGUCCUAUGCUGCGUGUAAGUUGUGAAAGGGAGAAAGGUAAAGAUUGGCUCAAGAUUUCUCACAUUCCUCACAUACAUAUUUGGAGAAGUUAAAGGAGCUAAUACAUAAAUCACAUUCUUUCAAUCGUCCAACAUAUUGAGGUAUUGCUACUAAAUAGUUUAUUUUCUUUUCAGUAAUCAAAGGUAAUUUCAGUUAAAAUUUGGAUGAAUGAAAUACAUAUAUUGUCCUAGAAAGUUGUAUGUUUUUAUUUGUUGGAUGUUGAAAUACAGAUAAUUUCUUCCUAUUGUCUCUCAUUCAUCUCCAUAAAUAAUAAUCAUCAUUCUAUUUCAAUAUCUUUUUUGCUAUAAUUAAUGCUACUAUUGUUCCUCUAUCAACUGCGGCAAAUAAACAUCACAUGCUUCCGAUUUUGAACUGCCAGCGCCACCCUUAAAAAACAAGUGUCCAUCUUAAAAGACAACGGGCCUAGCAGAGCUGAAAAGGAUUAAAAAAUAUUUAAAUAAUCUGCAACAUAUUUUUCAUUGUUGACGCGACAAAAUCAAAAUUCAAAAUUUAAAAUCUCCAUUCUCUCCUUAUCCGCAUCUUCAAAAAUUCAAAAUCUUUUCCCCACCUCUUUCUCUAAUCUAUUCCCCUUCUCCAAAAAUUCAAAAUCCAAAAACUUUUGAUUUGUUUAUUUUAUUAUCACUUAACUUUGAUUAAAAAACUUUUCUUGAAGUUUACUUCCAUCAAAGAUCUUUUAUAGAUAUAAAAAGAAGAGAUAAUAUAAAAUUCAUCCGCGUAUUGGAAUCACAAUUCAGAAUCAAGUGAAAGCGGCCAAUGUCACUCGAGAGAGUAGGCACUUGCAAAUCUGCUAAUAAUUAUUGGUGUUUAUUCCUCAUGAUGAUCCAGUGAGCUGACAAUAAAAGAAAACCUCGGCAUUACUAGUAAAUCGUCACUGCAAGCAUGGAAGAGAUUCAGGUAGGAAUUACCCUUGUCUUCAUUGAGAGGCUUUAACCUCCCUAGCUCCUUCAUCAGCAG